GGGGGGGGGGGGGGGGGGGGCUGGUGGGUGCGGGGCGGGGGGGCGGGCGGGGCGCUUUCUCCUCUGGCGUUGGCGGCGGGCGGGUGGUGAGCACGUGGAUAACCGCCCUGUAAGACUGGGAUAACUGCGGGCCACCGGAGCUAAUACCGGGUAAUAUAUUGGACCGCGUGGUUCUAUAGUGAGAUACGGUUUUGCUGUCACUUAUAGCUGGAUCCGCGCCGCAUUAGCUAGUUUGUAAGGUAACGGCUUACCAAGGCGCCGAUGCGUCGCCGACCUGCGAGGCUGAUCGGCCACACGGGAACUGAGACACCGUCCAGACUCCUACGGGAGGCAGCAGUAGCGAAUCUUCCGCAAUGGGCGGAAGCCUGACGGAGCAACGCCGCGUGAGUGAUGAAGGUCUUCGGAUCGUAAAGCUCUGUUAUUAGGGAAGAACAAAUGUGGACGUAACUAUGCACGUCGUGACGGUACCGAAUCAGAAAGCCACGGCUAACUACGUG
RNAcentral lists this ribosomal RNA (497 nucleotides) under uncultured bacterium. RNAcentral's name for it is "partial 16S ribosomal RNA". It matches the Rfam family "Bacterial small subunit ribosomal RNA", at positions 39 to 507 of the family's 1533-position model. The record is from RNAcentral.